CAAAAUCCAUUUUUGCUGGAAGAAACCCCCUUCUCGUAGUGCCUGGGCUGAGCUGAUGUUUCUAUGAUGUUUCUGGUACGCUCCAUUGACAAGAUCUCACACUCAGCGUCUCCAAUAGCAUCAAUGCUGGGCUCCUUCAGCACAACAGCUCCACCUUCAUUAAACAGGCACUGAUGUCACGGGAAGUUCUCACCAGCUCCUUACCUUGGAGGGACUCAUGGGCCCUGCGAAAGCUCGUAUAGACAGCACCGGAUCCUUGGGGCUGCCCGUGUAUUUGGACAGAGCUGCCUGCGGGCUCUCGUCUGUCUGAUCCGGUGACCACGGCGCACCGAUGACAGGAGCUGAGGAGUUAUCUUCUGCUCUCAGAAGUGGCACAUAGUAGCGACCUUGAUAAAACAAUACCAAGCCUUCUUUAACUGAUGUCACAUUAGCUUGCUCUUUUCCUAUGCUAUCAAUACACCUGUACAUUUAACCAUCUGACUGUAUUUCAUCAGUAAAACUAUAUGAUUCAAAUUCA
Molecule: long non-coding RNA, 517 nt
Organism: Gallus gallus (chicken)
Lineage: Eukaryota; Metazoa; Chordata; Aves; Galliformes; Phasianidae
Exons: 2
Source: RefSeq, a predicted model, not a curated record